ACUCCUACGGGAGGCAGCAGUAGGGAAUCUUCCACAAUGGACGCAAGUCUGAUGGAGCAACGCCGCGUGAGUGAAGAAGGUUUUCGGUAUCGUAAAGCUCUGUUGUUGGUGAAGAAGGAUAGAGGCAGUAACUGGUCUUUAUUUGACGGUAAUCAACCAGAAAGUCACGGCUAACUACGUGCCAGCAGCCGCGGUAAUACGUAGGUGGCAAGCGUUGUCCGGAUUUAUUGGGCGUAAAGCGAGCGCAGGCGGAAUGAUAAGUCUGAUGUGAAAGCCCACGGCUCAACCGUGGAACUGCAUCGGAAACUGUCAUUCUUGAGUGCAGAAGAGGAGAGUGGAACUCCAUGUGUAGCGGUGGAAUGCGUAGAUAUAUGGAAGAACACCAGUGGCGAAGGCGGCUCUCUGGUCUGCAACUGACGUUGAGGCUCGAAAGCAUGGGUAGCGAACAGGAUUAGAUACCCUGGUAGGAUAGCG
RNAcentral lists this ribosomal RNA (474 nucleotides) under uncultured bacterium. Its description in RNAcentral is "bacterial SSU rRNA". It matches the Rfam family "Bacterial small subunit ribosomal RNA", at positions 335 to 801 of the family's 1533-position model. The record is from RNAcentral.